GCGGGCCAGGCCGGGGGUCCUGGGCAGGUCUGGAGCCCGAUAUGAUGGCCGCUGCGGACUUGUGUACAGUCAGGCGUGGUGGUCGUGCCCUUUCGUGUCCUCAGGUGGCUACUGUGACCCUCACCUCUCCUGCAUGCCCGGGUCGGACCAGUUCCGUCGGAUACGGUGACGUGGAGAGGGCACCUGGUCUCUCCGGCUCGGGUCUUCGUCUAGUGGGUGACACGUUAAUCAGCGUGCAGUUACCGUGGUCCUGAGGGAUGAAGGCCAAGGAACUUGGCGUAGACUGGAAGGCUUCCUGGAGGAGGUGACAGCCCCAGCGUAAUAUAGUGGAAAGGGGAAACUGGAGACAGACAAGCACACAGGGAGAACGAUCAUGAAACACGGAUGGCCAUCUGCAAGCUUAGGAGAGCGGCCUGGAGCAGACUCACUCCCUCAACGGCUCUGGGGGAAGCAGCCUCUGACACCGUGAUCCUGGACUUCUGGAUUCCAGAGCAGUGGGGAGAUAAAUUUGUGUUGUUUAAGCCGCCAGGUUUAUUUAUGGUUCCUGGAAUAGGCGCUAGAGGGGGCUGCAACCCAGACCUGCCGACAGGCCACUCACUGAGUACACGAUCACUGCCUCAGCAUCUGUUCUGUGUGGCCCGCUGCCUGCGGGGCCUUGAACUGACAGGAGCCCUCCCGCGAGUGCGUGACCUAGAUGACAGCCCGCAGAGUCACCAGUAAACCGAAGUUCCUGAUGUGACCCCCCCGCCCAACACCCUUGUGAUAACCUCUCUCCCUGUGGGCCCCAUAGAUUAAACCCCUGUGAAGCUCACCAAAACCCUGCUCCCUCUGGUUUGAACUGACCUAUCCAGCCUUAGCCCAGGAACCCCAAAGCACAGCCCUGUGGACCUAAUACAGGUGUGCGCCCCGGGUCCCGACUCCUGGGCACUCUGCCUGUACCUCCUCCAGGACCUGUGAGUCGUAAGCUUCCCUGUUCCGCUGUUUCUUGAGGUCUUUGUUGAACCACCAGGCAGCCUGGCCACAUGCCUUCUGACACUGCAGGCAGCACCCACAGGGAUGGAGUGACAGCCGGGGCAGCACCGGGAGAAUGGAGCAGACAGGAAGGGCAUUGCAAGGGAUGGGGAAAUAAAACUAUCAUUGGAACCACAGGCCAUAAAAGUAGGCUGGAAUUUAUACACUAAACCUAAAUUGGAUGACUUUCUGCUGAAAUAGAAGAUUAAUUUUUUGUUUGAUGUGGACCAUUUUUUAAAGUUUUUAUUGAAUUUGUUACAAUAUUGCUUCUUCUUUUUUUUUUUUUUUAAUAUAUUUUGGUGUUUUGGCCGCGAGGCAUGCGGGAUCCUAGAUCCCUGGCCAGGGAUAGAACCUGCACCCCUUGCAUUGGAAGGCGAAGUCUGAACCACUGGACUGCCAGGGAAGUCUCUGAAAUAGAAGAUUUAAAUAAAAUCAGGAUUCUUCUAACACAAUAACCAAAAUGUCCAGUAUACAGUAAAAAACCACUGGCCAUACCAAGAACCAAGGAAAACCAUUAUUUGAACAUGAAAAGAAGUGAACUGACGUGAACACCAAGAUAAAUCUUGGAAUUAUCUGAAAAGGAUUUUAAAGCAGUCAUAAAAAUGCUUUUAAAAAUGUUUAUGGGGCUUCCCGGGUGGCGCAGUGGUUGGGAGUCCGCCUGCCAAUGCAGGGGACACGGGUUCGUGCCCCGGUCCGGGAGGAUCCCACAUGCCGCGGAGCGGCUGGGCCCGUGAGCCGUGGCCGCUGAGCCUGCGCGUCCGGAGCCUGUGCUCCGCAACGGGAGAGGCCACAACAGUGAGAGGCCCGCGUACCGCAAAAACAACAACAACAACAAAAAAGUGCACAGAGCCUCAGAUCUGCAGGACAAUCGUUUUUAUCACCAGAGUCUCAGAACAGGAGGAGGGAGAAUGUGGGCUGAAAAAGUGUUUGAAGAAAUAAUGGCUGAAAACUUCCCAAAUUUGGUGAAAGACAUAAACCCAUAGGUACAAGAAGCUAAGGAACCCCUAUGUAGGAUAAGCCUUCUGAAAAUCCAUACUAAGAAACAUCAUAAUUAAAUCUGUGAGGACUAAAGACAGAAAAAAAAAUGUAAAAACAGCCAGAGAGAAAUGAUGUGUUCCCUAGAGAGGAACACCAGUGUGAAUGACAGAUUUCUCAUCUGAAAUCACAGCAGCCAGAAGGAAGUGGCAUAUUUUUUUUAUAUAUAUUUUUUAUAUCUGAUUGUUGAAGCAAAAACUAUAAUACUGGGACUUCCCUGGUGGCACAGUGGUUAAGAAUCUGCCUGCCAAUGCAGGGGACAAGGGUUCGAUCUCUGGUCUGGGAAGAUCCCACAUGCUGCAGAGCAACUAAGCCCGUGCACCAUAACUACUGAGCCUGCACUCUAGAGCCCAUGUGCCACAACUACUGAAUCCCAGGCGCCUAGAGCCUGUGCUCCGCAACAAGAGAAGCCACCGCUAUGAGAAGCCCGUGCACCACAACGAAGAGUAGACCCUGCUCUCCGCACCUAGGGAAAAGCCAGCACGCAGCAACAAAGACCCAAUGCAGCCAAAAAUAAAUCAAUUUAUAUAUAAAAAUUAUAAUACCGAUGAGCUCUGUGCACGUGGGGGAAAUAUUUACAAUAAUUAUAUUUGAAAAGUGAGGGUAAAGGGCGGUUUCUGCACUGCACUAGAUGUGAAACAUCGGUACCAGUAAACUGAUAAUUACAUACGUGCACAGGAGUGUGUGGAACAGCCACUAAGAAAAGUAAACAGUGAUAUACUCAAUACGUUACAAAGUGGAAUUCUAAAGGAUGUUCAAGUAUCCCAUAAUAUGGCACGAGGAAACAAACACAAAUAAUAAAAUGGCAAACUUAGCCUCUAUCAAUAGUUCAAAAUGUAAAGGGGCCAAACACACCAGUUAGAAGACAAAGAUUUGCAGAGGGAAUAAAAAACCACGACCCAACUAUAUGUCAUUUACCGUAUGCUAAAACUCACUUCAAACGUAAUGAUGUGGGUAGGUUGAAAGAAAAAGGAAAAAGACAUCGUGUAAACAUUCACUUAUAAAAAGCACAAUGACUAAUAUCAGCUAAUUUCCCUUCAGAGCGAGGGAAAUUUCUACAGAAAAGGAGGUGCAUUGUAUAAGAAUAAAAGGAUCCAUCCACCAGGAGGACACAUAGCAAUCGCAAAUGCUUAUGACCCAAACAACAAACCUUCAAGAUACACGAAGCAAACACUGGCAGAGCUGAAAGGAGAGAGACCAACCCCCAGUUCCAGGUGAGGACCUCAGCGCCCACUCCACAAGUGCUGGAACUACUAGACAUUCCACAAGGACACAACACCAUCAACCAAAGGGAUCGGUGGACAUUUUACAGACCCUCCACCCAACAGAGCAGGAUGCCCGGUAUUCACAGGUGCCCAGGGACAUGCCAGGAUAGACUAUCCAUAAAACAGACCUCAGCAAAUGUAAAAGAAGUGAAGUCACAGAGAGCAUUUUCUCUGACAAAAAAUGGAAUCAAACUAAAAAUCAGUAACAGACAAUCUUCAAACGUGGAAAUUAACUCGGUUCUACUCAGAAAUAAAGAGGAAGGAACUAUCGAUACAUGCAAGAACUUGGAUGCAUCUCUAGGGGAUUAUGCUGAGUAAAAGAAUACAAUCAUACCAGAUACCAAUAGUGUGAUUCCGUGUGUAUAACAUGCAUGAGAUAAUUACAGAGAUGGGGGACACGUGAGUGGUCCCCAGCUGUUAGGGGUGGGGCUGGGUGCGACUACACGGGUGGCAGAAGGAGCUUGUAUAGUGAUGGUGCUUGAGUGUCCUGACUGUGGUGGUGGCUACAUGAGUACUUAGGGGGUAUCUGGCCUCUUGUCCCGUCCCCAUUCUUCCAGACUGAAUAGAAUAAGCAGGGGCAGUAGAACAGGGGGACCAAGGAGAGAAAAGUCUUUAUCUGAGCAACAUGAAACAGGAACAAGAAGCUACAUAAAAGAAGCUGCGUAAAAGGUGGAUGAUAGAAGCAGAUAAUGCUAAUUUCUGGUUAGUACACGUCCUAGAAAAAGGGAUAAUCAAAAUGGGGCAGAGAAGGUAUUCAAAGGGAUAACCGAGACAUUUGCCAGAGUUAAAAGUGAAAGACCUUCAGAUUGAAGGAACUACACAGCACCAGUGAGGCACACGUAUUGACAUGUUGUGAAACUUAGGAAUACCAAAGAAAAACAGGAGUUUGUGGGAGACUGCCAGAGAGAGAACAGGGUGCCUUCAAAGGGACAAGAGUCAAACUGAUGUCAGAUGUUUUUCUUUAGUUCCACAAAUACUUUUGUAAUUGCUUCCAGGGGCCCGUUUAGGGUAAAAAAAAAAAAAAUGUUGAUUUGUUUUUCCCCAACAGGAAAAUAUACGGACAAAUCUGAACACAGUAAAGGAAAGGAAAUGAUAAAGGUUAGAACAGAAAUUAAUGAAACAGUAAAACGAACAUACAUACAACACAGAUUAUUAAAACCAAGAGUUUAUUCUUUUUAAGGGCUAAUAAAAUCGAUAACCCACCUGUCAGGACUGACAAGGAAAAAAGAAGUUCAAAAGCACGAAUACCAACAUGAGGGUAAAAGUUUAUCAUGAAAGGUUCUAAACAUUAAAAAGAUACUAAAGUAAUAAUACUUUAUGCCAAAAAAAUAUAUGAAAUAGAGGAAAUCCUAGGAAAACAUAAUUUACUAAAAUCUCCACUAGAAGAAAUAGAAACUCAGAAUAGUCUACUACCUAUUAAAGAAGUUGAAUUUAUCAUUUCAAAGCUUCCCACAAUAAAGGCUAUAAUCACAGAUGGCAGCAAACACUUCAGAACACUUAAUAAGGAAAUAACUCCAACCGCCAAGUUGUCUUCUAAAGUGCCUGUACCAUUUUGCAUUCCCAGACAGUAAUGAAUGAGAGCGACCAUUGCGUCACAUCCUUGCCGCAAUUGGUAUUGUCAAGUUUUUUUUGAAUGUUAGCUAUUCUAAUGGGUCUGUAGUGGCGUCUUGUUGUUUUAUUUGCAAUUCCUUAUGGCGUAUGAUGUGAAUCUUUUCAUAUCCUUGUUUUCCAUUUUAUAUCUUAUUUAGUGAGAUGUACGUUCAGAUCUUUUGUCCAUUUUUAAUUGUAUUUAUUGUUGAGUUUUAAGAUUUAUAUAUUUUGAUACGUCUUAUCAGAUAUAUGUUUUACUAUUUUCUCUCACUCGGUGGCUUUUCAUUUUCUUAACAGUAAUUGGCAGAGCAGAAGUUUUAAAUUUUAAUAAAAUUCAACUUAGUUUUUUUUUUAAAAAGGAAAUAACUCCAAUCUGAAAAUAGGAAGAGAGAACAUCUCCCAACUCAUUUUGUGGAGCCGGUGUCACAGCCUUGAUCCCAAAAAGUGAGAGGGAAAUUACAGAAAGGAAUAUUAGAGAUCAACUUUUUUCAACACAGAUGCAAAAAUCCUAAACAAAAUCUUAACAAAUUAAAUCUGGAGAUAGGCACUUUAGAAAGGAUAAUACAUUGAGACCAGACUGAGUUUAUUCCAGGAAUGCAAGUUAAUUUUUUAACAUUAAAAAUUAAUGUGAUUUACCACAUUUUUAAAAACAUAAAUAAAUUUAUUUAUUUAUUUUUGGCUGAGUUGGGUCUUUGUUGCUGCACACAGGCUUCUCUAGUUGUGGCGAGCGGGGGCUACUCUUCGUUGUGGU
This is a long non-coding RNA of Globicephala melas (long-finned pilot whale), 5652 nucleotides long. RefSeq lists it as uncharacterized. The record is from RefSeq and is a predicted model, not a curated record. Lineage: Eukaryota; Metazoa; Chordata; Mammalia; Artiodactyla; Delphinidae.